This 497-nucleotide ribosomal RNA is filed under the name uncultured bacterium. RNAcentral describes it as "partial 16S ribosomal RNA". It matches the Rfam family "Bacterial small subunit ribosomal RNA", at positions 28 to 507 of the family's 1533-position model. The record is from RNAcentral.
GAUGAACGCUGGCGGCGUGCCUAAUACAUGCAAGUCGAGCGAACGGACGAGAAGCUUGCUUCUCUGAUGUUAGCGGAGGACGGGUGAGUAACACGUGGAUAACCUACCUAUAAGACUGGGAUAACUUCGAGAAACCGGAGCUAAUCCCGGAUAAUAUUUUGAACCGUAUGGUUCGAUAGUGAAAUACGGUCUUUGUGUCACUUAUAGCUGGUUCCGCGCUGCGUUGGCUAGUUGGUAGGGUAACGGCUUAUCAAGGCAACGAUGCAUAGCCGACCUGAGAGGGGGAUAGGCCGCCUUGGAACUGAGACACGGUCAAGGCGCCUACGGGAGGCAGCAGUAGGGAAUCUUCCGCAAUAGGCGAAAGCCUGACGGAGCAGCGCGGAGUGAGUGAUAAAGGUCUUCGGAUCGUAAAAAUCUGUUAUUAGGGAAGAACAUAUGUGGAAGUAACUGUGCAGAUCUUGACGGUAACUAAUCAGAAAGCCACGGCUAACUACGUG